CAUCAGACACGAAGGAGAGGCCAACAGAUGAGGGAAGCCAUUUUUCUGCAAUGGAAUUAAAUGGCCAAGCCCAAGGACUCACAGUUGGAAGACUGGAGAAGACUUUUUAAAAAGAUCUGGAUUUUUCCUUAUGACUUGGAAUCCAUCUUUGUCUUGUAUAACUAGGUCAUAGCACACCAUUCAUGUCAGCAGUUAACAGUUUUGAAUUCCAAAAAAACCUAAAGCAGUAAACAGUCCUCAGCGAAGCCGCCUUUUUGCCUACCCAACCCUGGAAAGUUUGCAGAAGUGGAAGGAGCAGAACGUGAGGGUGUAACUUACAAAAAGCUUGAUCUUCUAGACUCCAUGGCACCGGGCUGAGCGGGUUCUGGGCCGGAGAAGGGGCGACGUUCGGGCACCCCCCGAAUGGACAAUCUUUCCUUCUGUCAACGGCAGGGGCAGGCCUAGUUUGACUCUGACAGUCCUCCCACUAAGGAAUUCCUGGUGACUGGAAGGGGGAGUGACUCAGGCCCUCAACCUCUAGCAGAGUGCCUUGGCUCCCUCCUGUCGUCCUGGGGAACCUCGGCCCCAGCCCUGCCUCCCCAGCCAGUCACAGCUCCUCCCUGGUCACCCUGAGGGAGCUCAGGGCCCGGCUGGUAGCUGGGUUGCUCUGCUUCUGUCCCCCACUCCUGUGGAGCCUGGCAGGCAACUCCAUGAUCUGACCCCGGUUACCUUGACAGCCCUGCCUGGCCUCCCCUCUCAUGGCCCAGCCACCCCAGAACCUGAAGAGGUUUUCUAGCUGCCGUGCAUUUGCCAGGCUGGGUUACCCACCCUACUUUCCCUGCCUGCCCUCCAGUGCUGCCAGGCCUAGUGUGCCAGCCAGCGCUCAGCCUUCAGUAAAGGGUUCCCCUGCUUCCAACCUCCAUUGCACUGCUUCCCCUAAGACUGUGACCUCCUGGAAGGCUGGAGCACAACUGCCUCUCAAUAAACGUGUUGCAAAAAAGGAAAAAAAAAAAAAAAAAA
This 999-nucleotide long non-coding RNA is filed under the name Homo sapiens (human). RNAcentral's name for it is "long independently transcribed non-coding RNA 1089 (LINC01089)". The record is from RNAcentral. Lineage: Eukaryota; Metazoa; Chordata; Mammalia; Primates; Hominidae.